Molecule: ribosomal RNA, 510 nt
Filed under: uncultured bacterium
Lineage: Bacteria
Description: bacterial SSU rRNA
Rfam family: Bacterial small subunit ribosomal RNA
Source: RNAcentral
CNUUCNUACGGGAGGCAGCAGUAGGGAAUUUUCGGCAAUGGGGGAAACCCUGACCGACAACGCCGCGUGGGGGAAGAAGGCCUUCGGGUAGUAAACCUCUGUCUUUGGGGACGAUAAUGACGGUACCCGAGGAGGAAGCCCCGGCUAACUACGUGCCAGCAGCCGCGGUAAUACGUAGGGGGCGAGCUUUGUCCGGAAUCACUGGGCGUAAAGGGUGUGUAGGCGGCCUGUUAAGUCAGGCGUGAAAACCCCGGGCUUAACCUGGGGANUGCGCUUGAAACUGGCGGGCUUGAGGGCAGGAGAGGAAAGUGGAAUUCCCGGUGUAGCGGUGAUAUGCGUAGAUACCGGGAGGAACCCCAGUGGCGAAGGCGGCUUUCUGGCCUGCACCUGACGGUGAGGCGCGAAAGCCAGGGGAGCGAACGGGAUUAGAUACCCCGGUAGUCCUGCCCGUAAACGAUGGGUACUAGGUGUGGGAGGUAUCGACUCCUUCCGUGCCGGAGUUAACAAAGU